CCCUUAGAUGUUCUGGGCUGCACGCGCGCUACACUGUCGGAUUCAGCGAGUCAUAUCCUUAACCGAAAGGUUUGGGUAAUCUUUUGAAAGUCCGACGUGAUGGGGAUUGAUCAUUGCAAUUAUUGAUCAUGAACGAGGAAUUCCUAGUAAGCGCGAGUCAUCGGCUCGCGUUGAUUACGUCCCUGCCCUUUGUACACACCGCCCGUCGCUACUACCGAUUGAAUGGUUUAGUGAGAUCUUCGGAUUGGCGCCUACGCGGCUUCUCUGAGGCCACGCUGGAUGCCGAAAAGUUGCUCAAACUGUAUCAUUUAGAGGAAGUAAAAGUCGUAACA
Molecule: ribosomal RNA, 332 nt
Filed under: uncultured eukaryote
Lineage: Eukaryota
Description: partial 18S ribosomal RNA
Rfam family: Eukaryotic small subunit ribosomal RNA
Source: RNAcentral